AGUGAACGCUGGCGGUAGGCCUAACACAUGCAAGUCGAACGGCAGCACAGGAGAGCUUGCUCUCUGGGUGGCGAGUGGCGGACGGGUGAGGAAUACAUCGGAAUCUACUCUGUCGUGGGGGAUAACGUAGGGAAACUUACGCUAAUACCGCAUACGACCUACGGGUGAAAGCAGGGGAUCUUCGGACCUUGCGCGAUUGAAUGAGCCGAUGUCGGAUUAGCUAGUUGGCGGGGUAAAGGCCCACCGAGGCGACGAUCCGUAGCUGGUCUGAGAGGAUGAUCAGCCACACUGGAACUGAGACACGGUCCAGACUCCUACGGGAGGCAGCAGUGGGGAACAUUGGACAAUGGGCGCAAGCCUGAUCCAGCCAUACCGCGUGGGUGAAGAAGGCCUUCGGGUUGUAAAGCCCUUUUGUUGGGAAAGAAAUCCAGCUGGCUAAUACCCGGUUGGGAUGACGGUACCCAAAGAAUAAGCACCGGCUAACUUCGUGCCAGCCGCCGCGGUAA
Molecule: ribosomal RNA, 506 nt
Filed under: uncultured bacterium
Lineage: Bacteria
Description: partial 16S ribosomal RNA
Rfam family: Bacterial small subunit ribosomal RNA
Source: RNAcentral